This 409-nucleotide ribosomal RNA is filed under the name uncultured bacterium. RNAcentral describes it as "bacterial SSU rRNA". It matches the Rfam family "Bacterial small subunit ribosomal RNA", at positions 509 to 916 of the family's 1533-position model. The record is from RNAcentral.
CAGCAGCCGCGGUAAUUCGGAGGGCGCAAGCGUUAUUCGGAUUUAUUGGGCGUAAAGGGCGUGUAGGCGGUUUGAAAAGUCAGGUGUGAAAGCCCUUGGCUUAACCAAGGAAGUGCACUUGAAACUUUCAGACUUGAGUACGGGAGGGGGAAGUGGAAUUCCUGGUGUAGAGGUGAAAUUCGCAGAUAUCAGGAGGAAUACCGGUGGCGAAGGCGACUUCCUGGACCGAUACUGACGCUGAGACGCGAAAGCGUGGGGAGCAAACAGGAUUAGAUACCCUGGUAGUCCACGCCGUAAACGAUGGGCACUAGGUGUAGCGGGUAUUGACCCCUGCUGUGCCGAAGUUAACGCAUUAAGUGCCCCGCCUGGGGAGUACGGCCGCAAGGUUGAAACUUAAAGGAAUUGACGG